RNAcentral lists this ribosomal RNA (468 nucleotides) under uncultured bacterium. Its description in RNAcentral is "partial 16S ribosomal RNA". It matches the Rfam family "Bacterial small subunit ribosomal RNA", at positions 28 to 507 of the family's 1533-position model. The record is from RNAcentral.
GACGAACGCUGGCGGCGUGCUUAACACAUGCAAGUCGAACGGAAAGGCCCUGCUUUUGUGGGGUGCUCGAGUGGCGACCGGGUGAGUAACACGUGAGUAACCUGCCCUUGACUUUGGGAUAACUUCAUGAAACUGGGGCUAAUAGCGGAUAGGAGCUCCUGCUGUAUGGUGGGGGUUGGAAAGUUUCGGCGGUUGGGGAUGGACUCGCGGCUUAUCAGCUUGUUGGUGGGGUAGUGGCUUACCAAGGCUUUGACGGGUAGCCGGCCUGAGAGGGUCACCGGACACAUUGGGACUGAGAUACGGCCCAGACUCCUACGCGACGCAGCAGAGGAGUAGAGUGCACAAUGGGAGGAGGCCUGAUCCAGCAACGCCGCGUGGGGGAUAACGGGCAUCGGGUUGUAUUCCACUUUCGCCUGUGACGAAGCGUGAGUGACGGUAAUGGGUGAAGAAGCACCGGCUAACUACGUG